This 404-nucleotide ribosomal RNA is filed under the name uncultured bacterium. Its description in RNAcentral is "partial 16S ribosomal RNA". It matches the Rfam family "Bacterial small subunit ribosomal RNA", at positions 28 to 526 of the family's 1533-position model. The record is from RNAcentral.
GACGAACGCUGGCGGCGUGCUUAACACAUGCAAGUCGAGCGGAGCGGCGAACGGGUGAGUAACGCGUGAGUAACUGCCCCCCUCUCGGGGAUAACAGUUGGAAACGGCUGCUAAUACCGGAUAGUGGGGGAUGACUCGCGUCCCAUCAGCUUGUUGGUGGGGUAGGGGCCUACCAAGGCGACGGCGGGUAGCCGGCCUGGGAGGGGGACCGGACACCAUGGGCUGGGGUACCGGCCAAACCUCUACGGGGGGCAGGAGUUGGGAAUAUUGCACAAUGGGGGAAACCCUGAUGCAGCAACGCGCGUGCGGGAUGACGGCCUUCGGGUUGUAAACCGCUUUCAGCCAUGACGCGGUAGUGGCAGAAGAAGCACCGGCUAACUACGUGCCAGCAGCCGCGGUAAUUC